RNAcentral lists this ribosomal RNA (280 nucleotides) under uncultured bacterium. Its description in RNAcentral is "partial 16S ribosomal RNA". It matches the Rfam family "Bacterial small subunit ribosomal RNA", at positions 78 to 353 of the family's 1533-position model. The record is from RNAcentral.
UCUAAGUUUGUAUGGCGACCGGCGCACGGGUGAGUAACACGUACCCAACCCUGCCGAUGACUCGGGGGAGUAGCCUUUCGAAAGAAAGAUUAAUACCCGAUGGCAUAGUUCUUCCGCAUGGUGGAACUAUUAAAGAAUUUCGGUCAUCGAUGGGGAUGCGUUCCAUUAGGUUGUUGGCGGGGUAACGGCCCACCAAGCCUUCGAUGGAUAGGGGUUCUGAGAGGAAGGUCCCCCACAUUGGAACUGAGACACGGUCCAAACUCCUACGGGAGGCAGCAUG